RNAcentral lists this ribosomal RNA (404 nucleotides) under uncultured bacterium. RNAcentral describes it as "bacterial SSU rRNA". It matches the Rfam family "Bacterial small subunit ribosomal RNA", at positions 355 to 776 of the family's 1533-position model. RNAcentral also lists the same sequence under 1 other name. The record is from RNAcentral.
UGGGGAAUCUUGCGCAAUGGGCGAAAGCCUGACGCAGCAACGCCGCGUGGGGGAUGAAGGCUCUCGGGUUGUAAACCCCUUUCAGCAGGGACGAAAUUGACGGUACCUGCAGAAGAAGCCCCGGCUAACUACGUGCCAGCAGCCGCGGUAACACGUAGGGGGCAAGCGUUGUCCGGAUUUAUUGGGCGUAAAGAGCUCGUAGGUGGCUAAGUAAGUCGGGUGUCAAAUCCCCAGGCUCAACCUGGGUCUCCACUCGAUACUGCUUUGGCUAGAGUCCGGUAGGGGAGCGUGGAAUUCCUGGUGUAGCGGUGAAAUGCGCAGAUAUCAGGAGGAACACCAGCGGCGAAGGCGGCGCUCUGGGCCGGUACUGACACUGAGGAGCGAAAGCGUGGGUAGCAAACAGG